GGCUGGUCCGAUGGCAGUGGGUUAUCAGAACUUAUUAACAUUAGUGUCACUAAAGUUGGUAUACCACCCCCCCCCCACUGCUAAAUUUUACUGGCUUUAA
RNAcentral lists this Y RNA (100 nucleotides) under Cavia aperea (Brazilian guinea pig). RNAcentral's name for it is "Y RNA (ENSCAPG00000004405.1)". It matches the Rfam family "Y RNA". Rfam says of the family: Y RNAs are components of the Ro ribonucleoprotein particle (Ro RNP), in association with Ro60 and La proteins. The Y RNAs and Ro60 and La proteins are well conserved, but the function of the Ro RNP is not known. Lineage: Eukaryota; Metazoa; Chordata; Mammalia; Rodentia; Caviidae. The record is from RNAcentral.